Molecule: unclassified non-coding RNA, 127 nt
Filed under: Halorubrum xinjiangense
Lineage: Archaea; Methanobacteriati; Methanobacteriota; Halobacteria; Halobacteriales; Haloferacaceae
Description: HgcC family RNA
Source: RNAcentral
CUGGUUGGCACCGCCAGUAGCCGUCAGCAAGACGGCUACAAACCGUGAACAUCCCAAACCAGAGGUACAGUGCCGUGGGAAUCUUCGCCCUUCAGGGCGGAGAGGAUGUCAAAGCCAGUACAACAUC